CUGCUGCUCCUGGCACUGGCUCUCAUUCUGAUUGGCAAUUCUCCUUUGCUGCCGAACGUGACCCAUGAUAUGCUGUAUAAGCAAGAUGUUGUAGCCGUUGUGGUGAUUGGCCUCGCCUCUGCCAUGUCCAUUGUGCCCACCUUUGCCUCCAUUCUUUACGUCCUCGGCGAGGAUGGCACAGUGGACGUCACAACAUUCUCACUGGUGGGCGGCAUGUGGUCUGC
Molecule: long non-coding RNA, 224 nt
Organism: Penaeus indicus
Lineage: Eukaryota; Metazoa; Arthropoda; Malacostraca; Decapoda; Penaeidae
Exons: 3
Source: RefSeq, a predicted model, not a curated record